RNAcentral lists this microRNA precursor (96 nucleotides) under Felis catus (domestic cat). RNAcentral's name for it is "mir-584 microRNA precursor family". It matches the Rfam family "mir-584 microRNA precursor family". The record is from Rfam by way of RNAcentral. Lineage: Eukaryota; Metazoa; Chordata; Mammalia; Carnivora; Felidae.
UAGGGCGACCAGUUGUCCCGGUUGGCCUGCGACUGAGGUGUUUUGCCAACUAGGACAGUCCCAGGCAAGCCGGAGAGUUGGUCACCCUAAAUCUGG